Molecule: long non-coding RNA, 1139 nt
Organism: Solanum lycopersicum (tomato)
Lineage: Eukaryota; Viridiplantae; Streptophyta; Magnoliopsida; Solanales; Solanaceae
Source: RefSeq, a predicted model, not a curated record
CCUCCCAAACCGGUCAAAUUUUCUUUUCCCUUAGAAACCCAUCGAUUCCCAUCACCAAAAGACAGCAGCGUGAAAAUUAACAGCACUUCAACUUCAUUAGUCGAAAAAUGUGUGAGCACACCAAGCAAUCCUUACACGCCUCAUCUCUCCUCACGCAAGAAACGACAAGUCACUACGUCAAAAGAGACGGAAAGCAAGUCCCCAACGUCUCUAUCUUCAAGAAAGUACAAUCUGGCACAAUUUUCCAUAAUUCCAACUGCAAUACUCGUCCUUGCUCGCUUGGAUGGGCGCCACGUCGAGGAGCAAGAACGAACAGAUCAAUCAAGAGCUCCAUCCUCAUUUCCAAUUUUGGAAUGGGUCAAGAGCCUCAGAAAAAGUUGUUCGUCUAGAACAAUGAAAGUUUUCGGACUUCAACAUUGAAAAAGGGGCCUCUUCUUAUCCAAUGUUGGAUUCCCCCCCCCCCCCCCAUUAAUACGAACCCUAAUUUCUUUCUAUAUAAACUUCUUUUUCUCCAAUGUGGAGGAGUUUUUUUUUUUUUGGGGGGGGGGGUUUGAAAAUCCAGCAAAAAGAUUGUUGUUGGAUAUUUUUUAGAGAAAGAUACAGAGUGCAACUUGGUAAAAAUUCCUACUGAAUGUGUCUCAAAAACAAAGGAGUCAAUCAGCUUUAGCACCUAAGUUAGAUACUUCCGUCCAAGCUUUUUAUUACCAUCCAAUUUCAUAUGUUGGUGGUAAAGUUGGCUGGUAACCUCUGCUCGCCAAGUUCUGAUUUGCUGCCCUAGAAAAGAUUUGCUCGAGUUCAUUACGAAGUCCUUCUCGCCCUCUUGCAUUUUGGGAGAGCAACAAAGGCUCAAAAUUUCUUCUUGAGUAAAUUAGCAUGAAUAGACGUAUAGGUCCCAAAGUCCGAGAAAAUAAAAAAAAGGCCGAGAGCUUGAAGAUUUUGGGUCAAGAAGCCCAAAUUUAUUUUUACGAAAUAUUGUAUUUUGUUAUUUUUGGGCCUAAUCCAUUGCCAUUUUACUACUAUUAGAUUGUUAGAACAUAGGACAGGUACAAAUAGGCUAAAAGCCAAAGACAAUAUGGUUCAAAAUAUCGGUCCAGGCAAACAGAACCGGAUUUGGACCCAACUAUCUUUUUCUCUCUCUA